UCUUCUGCUCCUUUUGUAUCGCUACAGACCGUCCAAAGAUUCCUGCUCCAUCAGGCCAAUCCAGUCUGAGAGCACUAAUCGAGGUUCUGUCGAAAACUACUCCUCUCCUGUCCACGUGGCUGCAGGUGAUGCUCCUCUCUAUGAAACAAUCAAAGGCUUUGAAAACACACAGAGUG
Molecule: long non-coding RNA, 176 nt
Organism: Micropterus salmoides (largemouth bass)
Lineage: Eukaryota; Metazoa; Chordata; Actinopteri; Centrarchiformes; Centrarchidae
Exons: 4
Source: RefSeq, a predicted model, not a curated record